This 468-nucleotide ribosomal RNA is filed under the name uncultured bacterium. RNAcentral's name for it is "partial 16S ribosomal RNA". It matches the Rfam family "Bacterial small subunit ribosomal RNA", at positions 28 to 507 of the family's 1533-position model. The record is from RNAcentral.
GACGAACGCUGGCGGCGUGCUUAACACAUGCAAGUCGAACGGAAAGACCCUGCUUUUGUGUGGUGCUCGAGUGGCGAACGGGUGUGUAACACGUGAGUAACCCGCCCUUGACUGUGUGAUAUCUUCAGACAACUGCGGAUACUGCCUGAGAGGAGCUCCUGCAGCAUGGUGGUGGUUGGACAGUUUCGGCGGUUGUGGAUGGACUCGCGGGUUACCAGCUUGUUGGUUGAGGAGUUGCUUACCAAGGCUUAGGCGGGUCGCCCGCCUGAGAGCGGAAACGGCGUCAUGGGGACUGAGGUACGGACCAGUCUCGUAUGGGAGGCAGUAGUGGGGAAUAUGGCACAAUGGGCGGAAGUGUGAGGCGGCAAUGUUGCGUGCGGGAUGACGGCCUUCGGGUUGUAAACCGCUGUCGCCUGUGACGAAGCGUGAGUGACGUUAACGGGUAAAGAAGCACCGGCUAACUACGUG